GUAGUAAUCCUAGAGCUAAUACGUGCGACCAACCCCGGGGCCUUCGGACCUCGGGGCGUAUUUAUUAGAUUCAAAACCGAUGUGGGGCACUCCAAACUCGAGGGGGCGGGGCGACUCGCUCCCCCGGGGUCCCAUCAAGCACCGGUGAUUCGGGAUAACUCAGCGGAUCGCAUGGCCCAGCGCCGGCGACGCUUCGAUCGAAUUUCUGCCCUAUCAACUUUCGACGGUAGGGUAGCGGCCUACCGUGGUUUUUACGGGUGACGGAGAAUUAGGGUUCGAUUCCGGAGAGGGAGCCUGAGAGAUGGCUACCACUUCUACGGAAGGCAGCAGGCGCGUAAAUUACCCAAUCUUGGUUCAAGGAGGUAGUGACGAUAAAUAACGGUGCGGGGCCUUCGGGUCUCGCGAUCGGAAUGAGAACGACCCAAACACCCUAUCGAGUAACGAUUGGAGGGCAAGUCUGGUGCCAGCAGCCGCGGUAAUUCCAGCUCCAAUAGCGUAUACUAAAGUUGCUGCAGUUAAAAAGCUCGUAGUCGAAUUUCGAGGUCUCUCCGGACCGUCCGGUCCUCCCCAGUGGGGAUGGCACCGACCCCGGAACCUCUCUCUUUCCGGACGCUUCCCCCUGCUCUUUACCGAGCGGGGUCAGGGAGGCUCCGGGUCUUUUACUUUGAAAAAAUUAGGGUGUCCAAGGCGGGCCACGAACACUCGGGCGCCUCGAAUAAUUCAGCAUGGGAUAAUGGAACAGGGCUGGGCUCUCGUUUCCAUCGGUUUACAAGCUACCCGCUGAGGGGAGAGGGGGAGACCCCUCUCCCCCGGGGGUCCAGCAAUGAUUGACAGGGGUGAUCGGGGCCAUUGAUACUCCGUGGCGAGAGGUGAAAUUCUAGGACCCACGGAAGAUCGACCAGAGCGAAAGCAUUUGGCAAGGGCACCCCCAUUGAUCAAGAACGAAAGUUAGGGGAUCGAAGACGAUCAGAUACCGUCGUAGUCUUAACCGUAAACGAUGCCGACCAGGGAUUGAGGGACGUUACUCCGUACGACUCCCCCAGCGCCUCGCGGGAAACCACGAGUCUUCGGGUUCCGGGGGGAGUAUGGUCGCAAGGCUGAAACUUAAAGGAAUUGACGGAAGGGCACACCAGGAGUGGAGCCUGCGGC
RNAcentral lists this ribosomal RNA (1149 nucleotides) under uncultured soil eukaryote. Its description in RNAcentral is "SSU rRNA". It matches the Rfam family "Eukaryotic small subunit ribosomal RNA", at positions 149 to 1189 of the family's 1831-position model. The record is from RNAcentral.